UUGGAACCCUUUUUUUCUAACAGUAUAGGUAAUAGCGCAGCUCAUGUUGGAUUCCAUACUCCCCCUGUCCAUACCCCUGCUGCUGGUCAGCUUUUUGUCUUUGAUUUGUGUGUCCUGGAGGAUCCAGCUCGGGCAACCUGAGUCGUGUAUCUACACAAAAGCUUCCCUUGCAUCUCUCUGUUCCGCUACUGUUGUCAAGAUUUGUCAUCAGACACAACCACCACCUGUUGGUUCAGCCACAUCCUCUGGUAUGUCCGUUGCACCUGCACAGCUAGGGAGGUGUGGCCAGAGCAACUUACGAGACUGAAGCAGCAUAAUGCCCGAAGAGCAUAAAACCACGUAGGCCUAACACUCUGGAACCUCAGGGCUAAUCUGCGGUCUCCUCCACCAUGCUGGUAAAAGCGCUCCUUCAGACCUCACUGGUCCUAUGGCUGGCACAGCACACACUACAAGGAGGUAAGAGACAUAACCAAGACUAUCUGUG
This is a long non-coding RNA of Oncorhynchus tshawytscha (Chinook salmon), 484 nucleotides long. Lineage: Eukaryota; Metazoa; Chordata; Actinopteri; Salmoniformes; Salmonidae. The record is from Ensembl.